UACGGGGGGGGCAAGCGUUGUUCGGAAUUACUGGGCGUAAAGCGCACGUAGGCGGACCAGCAAGUUAGGGGUGAAAUCCCGGGGCUCAACCCCGGAACUGCCUUUAAAACUGUUGGUCUGGAGGUCGAGAGAGGUGAGUGGAAUUCCGAGUGUAGAGGUGAAAUUCGUAGAUAUUCGCAAGAACACCAGUGGCGAAGGCGGCUCACUGGCCCGGUACUGACGCUGAGGUGCGAAAGCGUGGGGAGCAAACAGG
This 253-nucleotide ribosomal RNA is filed under the name uncultured bacterium. Its description in RNAcentral is "partial 16S ribosomal RNA". It matches the Rfam family "Bacterial small subunit ribosomal RNA", at positions 524 to 776 of the family's 1533-position model. The record is from RNAcentral.